UAGAGUUUGAUCCCUGGCUCAGGACGAACGCUGGCGGCGUGCCUAAUACAUGCAAGUCGAACGCUUCUUUUCUACCGAGUGCUUGCACUCAUUUGAAAAGAGGAGUGGCGGACGGGUGAGUAACACGUGGGUAACCUACCCAUCAGAGGGGGAUAACACUUGGAAACAGGUGCUAAUACCGCAUAAUAGUCGACACCGCAUGGUGUUGAUUUGAAAGACGCUUUCGGGUGUCACUGAUGGAUGGANCCCGCGGUGCAUUAGCUAGUUGGUGAGGUAACGGCUCANCCAAGGNCCAUGAUGCAUAGCCGANCCCUGAGAGGGUGAUUCGGCCACA
This 334-nucleotide ribosomal RNA is filed under the name Enterococcus sp. G61110E1. RNAcentral describes it as "bacterial SSU rRNA". It matches the Rfam family "Bacterial small subunit ribosomal RNA", at positions 1 to 312 of the family's 1533-position model. The record is from RNAcentral. Lineage: Bacteria; Bacillati; Bacillota; Bacilli; Lactobacillales; Enterococcaceae.